This 484-nucleotide ribosomal RNA is filed under the name uncultured bacterium. RNAcentral's name for it is "partial 16S ribosomal RNA". It matches the Rfam family "Bacterial small subunit ribosomal RNA", at positions 30 to 507 of the family's 1533-position model. The record is from RNAcentral.
AUUGAACGCUGGCGGCAGGCCUAACACAUGCAAGUCGAGCGGAUGAAGGGAGCUUGCUCCUGGAUUCAGCGGCGGACGGGUGAGUAAUGCCUAGGAAUCUGCAUGGUAGUGGGGGAUAACGUCCGGAAACGGGCGCUAAUACCGCAUACGUCCUGUGGGAGCAAGUGGGGGAUCUUCGGACCGCACGCUAUCAGAUGAGCCUAGGUCGGAUUAGCUAGUUGGUGGGGUAAAGGCCUACCAAGGCGACGAUCCGUAACUGGUCUGAGAGGAUGAUCAGUCACACGGGAACUGAGACACGGUCGCGACUCCGACGCGAGGAAGCAGUGGAGAAUCUUGGACGAUGGGCGAAUGCCUGAUCCAGCCAUGCCGCGUGUGUGAAGAAGGUCCUCUGAUUGUAAAGCACUUUAGGUUGGGAGGAAGUGCAGUAAGUUAAUACCUGAUUGUUUUGACGUUACCAACAGAAUAAGCACCGGCUAACUUCGUG